Long non-coding RNA from Mauremys reevesii (Reeves's turtle), 933 nucleotides. RefSeq lists it as uncharacterized. The transcript has 3 exons. The record is from RefSeq and is a predicted model, not a curated record. NCBI's taxonomy places the organism in Eukaryota, Metazoa, Chordata, Testudines, Geoemydidae.
GUCUCAGUUUCAGCCGGAGUGAAAAAGAUCAAGGAACCAGCCUCUUAUCAGAAUAUGGCAGCCUCUUCUCAACAAACCACUUUUAACACACAGCAUGCCAUUUUCAGCCAGACUGCCCAUGGCUGAUGCAAAUUGGCAUACAAGUCAAUGGAGCUAUGCUAUUUACCCCAGCUGAGGCGCGGGCUCAUUAUAUGCAACAGAAAAGAUCAGAUGUCUGUCCUCUUUCCCUCUCCUACUGGAAGAAUUGGGUCAUAAUCACAAAUAUUUUAAACUAAUUUGAAAUUAGAAAUCAAUACUUAGUUUGGAUUCUCCUCUCCAAAAGCUGCAGACUUCUCCUUGGAGACAGGACUAAAGAAUAUGGAUAAACAGAGGGAUGAAACCCCCAUGAGAUCAAACCCUUCCAAGGAGCUGUCAAUUUACGUGCUUCCUUUCUGGACUCAAUGGAUUUUAAGGGAAUGGUAAAACCAAAGGGCCAGUUGUAACAUACAGUGGUCACACUUUUUAAUAAAGCAAACAAAAAACACUUAACUUUUAGGGCUAAAACCAAUUCCAGCUGCAUCCUCGUGUCACGAAUGGGGAAUAUCACUCCUUACGGAACAAGCUUUUAAAUGGAACAGUCCUUCGAGUAUAAUCAUUGCAGCUGCAACCGUGGUCCCUGGAGUUAGUGAUACUGACCUCAUCAUGUGACCCCUGACCCCACUGAAGUGACGGGAGCCUUGCCAUUGACUUCAGUGGGGCCAGGAAUUCCAUAUGGAGUAUUUUGUAACUUUGACCCCUGUCAUGGAACUGGGGCCAGGAAAUAAAGACUAGCCUCCUACCAACACUCCUUGUGUUAUAGCUUUAUUAUAAUAGCUAGGCUUUAACAAAUAUACCAGAAAGAAAGUAAAGGCCCAUCGUUACAAAAAGGGAUAGACUCCCAUUUUCAGUGUAUCU